This 800-nucleotide ribosomal RNA is filed under the name Chromohalobacter sp. Mg68. Its description in RNAcentral is "bacterial SSU rRNA". It matches the Rfam family "Bacterial small subunit ribosomal RNA", at positions 59 to 850 of the family's 1533-position model. Lineage: Bacteria; Pseudomonadati; Pseudomonadota; Gammaproteobacteria; Oceanospirillales; Halomonadaceae. The record is from RNAcentral.
AAGUCGAGCGGAACGAGUCUAGCUUGCUAGGGAGCCGUCGAGCGGCGGACGGGUGAGUAAUGCAUAGGAAUCUACCCAGUCGUGGGGGAUAACCUGAGGAAACUCAGGCUAAUACCGCAUACGUCCUACGGGAGAAAGCGGGGGCUCUUCGGACCUCGCGCGAUUGGAUGAGCCUAUGUCGGAUUAGCUGGUUGGUGAGGUAACGGCUCACCAAGGCGACGAUCCGUAGCUGGUCUGAGAGGAUGAUCAGCCACACCGGGACUGAGACACGGCCCGGACUCCUACGGGAGGCAGCAGUGGGGAAUAUUGGACAAUGGGCGCAAGCCUGAUCCAGCCAUGCCGCGUGUGUGAAGAAGGCUUUCGGGUUGUAAAGCACUUUCAGCGAGGAAGAAAGCGUGCCGGCCAAUACCCGGUACGGACGACAUCACUCGCAGAAGAAGCACCGGCUAACUCCGUGCCAGCAGCCGCGGUAAUACGGAGGGUGCAAGCGUUAAUCGGAAUUACUGGGCGUAAAGCGCGCGUAGGCGGCGUGUCACGCCGGGUGUGAAAGCCCCGGGCUCAACCUGGGAACGGCAUCCGGAACGGGCAGGCUAGAGUGCAGGAGAGGAAGGUAGAAUUCCCGGUGUAGCGGUGAAAUGCGUAGAGAUCGGGAGGAAUACCAGUGGCGAAGGCGGCCUUCUGGACUGACACUGACGCUGAGGUGCGAAAGCGUGGGUAGCAAACAGGAUUAGAUACCCUGGUAGUCCACGCCGUAAACGAUGUCGACUAGCCGUUGGGUCCCUUGAGGACUUAGUGGCGCA